ACGGGAGGCAGCAGUGGGGAAUAUUGGACAAUGGGCGAAAGCCUGAUGCAGCGACGCCGCGUGAACGAAGAAGGAUUUCGGUAUGUAAAGUUCUAUCAGCAGGGAAGAAGAAUGACGGUACCGGACUAAGAAGCACCGGCUAAAUACGUGCCAGCAGCCGCGGUAAUACGAAUGGUGCAAGCGUUAUCCGGAUUUACUGGGUGUAAAGGGAGCGCAGGCGGUAUGGCAAGUCUGAUGUGAAAGCCCGGGGCUCAACCCCGGUACUGCAUUGGAAACUACCAGACUAGAGUGUCGGAGAGGUAAGUGGAAUUCCUAGUGUAGCGGUGAAAUGCGUAGAUAUUAGGAGGAACACCAGUGGCGAAGGCGGCUUACUGGACGAUAACUGACGCUGAGGCUCGAAAGCGUGGGGAGCAAACAGGAUUAGAUACCCUGGUA
This 435-nucleotide ribosomal RNA is filed under the name uncultured Roseburia sp. RNAcentral describes it as "partial 16S ribosomal RNA". It matches the Rfam family "Bacterial small subunit ribosomal RNA", at positions 341 to 792 of the family's 1533-position model. Lineage: Bacteria; Bacillati; Bacillota; Clostridia; Lachnospirales; Lachnospiraceae. The record is from RNAcentral.